This 341-nucleotide ribosomal RNA is filed under the name Clostridioides difficile. Its description in RNAcentral is "partial 23S ribosomal RNA". It matches the Rfam family "Bacterial large subunit ribosomal RNA", at positions 1 to 343 of the family's 2925-position model. The record is from RNAcentral. Lineage: Bacteria; Bacillati; Bacillota; Clostridia; Peptostreptococcales; Peptostreptococcaceae.
UGGUCAAGUUAUUAAGGGUGCAGGGCGGAUGCCUUGGCACUAGGAGCCGAUGAAGGACGUGAUAAGCUGCGAUAAGCUUCGGGGAGUUGCACGUAAACUUUGAUCCGAAGAUUUCCGAAUGAGGAAACUCACUUAGAGUAAUGUCUAAGUAUCAUUAAGUGAAUACAUAGCUUAAUGAGGGGAACUCAGGGAACUGAAACAUCUAAGUACCUGAAGGAAGAGAAAGAAAUUCGAUUCCGUAAGUAGCGGCGAGCGAACGCGGAUUAGCCCAAACCAAUAAAGUUUUCUUUAUUGGGGUUGCGGACAUAUCAUAACGAAGAGGUAUCGUAAUUGAAGAGGUU